This is a long non-coding RNA of Rosa rugosa (rugosa rose), 1257 nucleotides long. RefSeq lists it as uncharacterized. The record is from RefSeq and is a predicted model, not a curated record. The transcript has 3 exons. Lineage: Eukaryota; Viridiplantae; Streptophyta; Magnoliopsida; Rosales; Rosaceae.
CUCUCUCUCUCUCCUCUUCCUCUUCCCCGCGUCGCCCUCCCUUUUUCUUUUUCCGAUUUCUUCACCGUCCGGCGUCCGAUUGAUGUGAUUCCAGUUGUCCUUGGACCGUCUCUUCCUCCUCUAUACGAUGGUAUCAGUGGGUAUCGGUGAUUUGGCCGGAAAACCCCGAAUUUAUGCAAUCAUUGUUACUGUAGUAAUUUGCUUCUCCGGUGAAAUUCUCCAGUUUUCGGCUAUUUCCGGCGGGAAAAUUUGUUCUAUUAGGAGCGCCUCGAGUCACUGAUCAUCUUCCCUCAAGACUUCUAGCUGAAAUUUCCACGUUUGGAAGGUGAAUUUGAAGGAUUUCCAAAUUGGUGGGUUUGGAGAUUUUCGGGUUUGUGUUCAUCGGCAAAAUUGGAGCACUUGAAGGAUGUCGUACCGAGCCCUGGCUCGAUGAAGGAACUCGUAUACGUGAUCGUCGGAAUAGUACUUGUGCAGGAGAAAUUAGUUGAGGUCGGGCGUACAUGGAGUCGAGGCAUAGUCAACAGUAUGGCUUCCGCGAGUGCCUUGAAUUAGGUUUUCCUCAUUUACCUUUCUAUUAGUAAUCUUGUAAUGUGGGUUGAGACUGUUAUUCUUGAAAUUGGAGUUGUGUUUUGGGGAGCAGGUGGCUCCAGGAGGAUAAGGAUGGGUUGAUUUAGAAGUGUAAAUGUUUUCCUACAGGGUUUGGGUAGCCUACUUUAAGGGGAAGUUCUGCCAAAUUUUUUGGUAGAAUUUCUUCUAAGGUGGGUCCCGCAGGGUCACUCGGAUUUCGGGGUGAAAUCCGGGGCGGGUCCUGUCAGUUGCCGCUCGUCUACAAGAGUUUCGAGUUCAUAAUACCAACUCUGCUCUGGCUAGUGCUAGAAGAAGAAGAGUGCAAACAUGGGUGGCUCCAUCAGCAGGAGUGUUAAAAAUCAAUGUUGAUGGCUCCUUUCAUCAUAACACUAGGUCUGGCGGGUUUGGUUUUGUGAUUAGAGAUUCAAGUGGUGCAAUGUUAGCUGGAGGUGCAGGCCCUUUACGUGGACUGAUAUCAUCAGAACAUGCCGAAGUUUUGGCGUGUAGGAAUGCAAUUAACUUUGCAAUUGAUCAUGGCUUCGUUCCAGCUCUUUUGGAGACUGAGGCACAAAAGGUGCAAUGACAACUUGCUGCCCAAGCUAGCAUUAAUGCCUCGGCCUUGGGACGACUAUAUGAGGAUCUGAGUUUACUCUUGGCUCCUCAAAAUAUUUUGAAAGUUAGCUAUGUUAG